RNAcentral lists this ribosomal RNA (253 nucleotides) under uncultured bacterium. Its description in RNAcentral is "partial 16S ribosomal RNA". It matches the Rfam family "Bacterial small subunit ribosomal RNA", at positions 524 to 776 of the family's 1533-position model. The record is from RNAcentral.
UACGGGGGGGGCAAGCGUUGUUCGGAAUUACUGGGCGUAAAGGGCGCGUAGGCGGUCUGCUAAGUUGGAUGUGAAAACUCUGGGCUUAACCCAGAGCCUGCAUUCAAUACUGACAGGCUAGAGUUCUGGAGGGGAUAGCGGAAUUCCUGGUGUAGCGGUGAAAUGCGUAGAUAUCAUGAGGAAGACCAGUGGCGAAGGCGGGUCUCUGGACAGUUCCUGACACUGAGGCACGAAGGCCAGGGGAGCAAACGGG